ACGGGUGAGUAAUGCCUAGGAAUCUGCCUGGUAGUGGGGGAUAACGUUCGGAAACGAACGCUAAUACCGCAUACGUCCUACGGGAGAAAGCAGGGGACCUUCGGGCCUUGCGCUAUCAGAUGAGCCUAGGUCGGAUUAGCUAGUUGGUGAGGUAAUGGCUCACCAAGGCGACGAUCCGUAACUGGUCUGAGAGGAUGAUCAGUCACACUGGAACUGAGACACGGUCCAGACUCCUACGGGAGGCAGCAGUGGGGAAUAUUGGACAAUGGGCGAAAGCCUGAUCCAGCCAUGCCGCGUGUGUGAAGAAGGUCUUCGGAUUGUAAAGCACUUUAAGUUGGGAGGAAGGGCAGUUACCUAAUACGUGAUUGUUUUGACGUUACCGACAGAAUAAGCACCGGCUAACUCUGUGCCAGCAGCCGCGGUAAUACAGAGGGUGCAAGCGUUAAUCGGAAUUACUGGGCGUAAAGCGCGCGUAGGUGGUUUGUUAAGUUGGAUGUGAAAUCCCCGGGCUCAACCUGGGAACUGCAUUCAAAACUGACUGACUAGAGUAUGGUAGAGGGUGGUGGUAUUUCCUGUGUAGCGG
This 583-nucleotide ribosomal RNA is filed under the name Pseudomonas sp. StFRB087. RNAcentral's name for it is "bacterial SSU rRNA". It matches the Rfam family "Bacterial small subunit ribosomal RNA", at positions 102 to 681 of the family's 1533-position model. The record is from RNAcentral. Lineage: Bacteria; Pseudomonadati; Pseudomonadota; Gammaproteobacteria; Pseudomonadales; Pseudomonadaceae.